This 90-nucleotide unclassified non-coding RNA is filed under the name Pseudomonas sp. NFPP11. Lineage: Bacteria; Pseudomonadati; Pseudomonadota; Gammaproteobacteria; Pseudomonadales; Pseudomonadaceae. The record is from RNAcentral. RNAcentral also lists the same sequence under 2 other names.
UGUGGGAGCUGGCUUGCCUGCGAUAGCGAUGUGUCAGUCAGCUGAUGUGCCAGCUGACCCACCGCUAUCGCAGGCAAGCCAGCUCCCACA